GGGGAUAUAGCUCUGUGGUAGAGUGCUUGCAUGGCAUGCAUGAAACCCUGGGUUCAAUUCCUGGCACCA
Molecule: non-coding RNA, 69 nt
Organism: Ictidomys tridecemlineatus (thirteen-lined ground squirrel)
Lineage: Eukaryota; Metazoa; Chordata; Mammalia; Rodentia; Sciuridae
Source: Rfam